This 21-nucleotide small RNA is filed under the name Karenia brevis. RNAcentral's name for it is "trans-spliced leader sequence SL". The record is from RNAcentral. Lineage: Eukaryota; Dinophyceae; Gymnodiniales; Kareniaceae.
CCGUGGCCAUUUUCGCUCAAG